This 253-nucleotide ribosomal RNA is filed under the name uncultured bacterium. Its description in RNAcentral is "partial 16S ribosomal RNA". It matches the Rfam family "Bacterial small subunit ribosomal RNA", at positions 524 to 776 of the family's 1533-position model. The record is from RNAcentral.
UACAGAGGUCUCAAGCGUUGUCCGGAAUUAUUGGGCGUAAAGAGCUCGUAGGCGGUCUGUCGCGUCUGCUGUGAAAACCCGGGGCUCAACUCCGGGCUUGCAGUGGAUACGGGCAGACUAGAGUUCGGUAGGGGAGACUGGAAUUCCUGGUGUAGCGGUGAAAUGCGCAGAUAUCAGGAGGAACACCGGUGGCGAAGGCGGGUCUCUGGGCCGAUACUGACGCUGAGGAGCGAAAGCGUGGGGAGCGAACAGG